GAAAGGAUCAGAGCCCCAGGAUAAAGGAGUGUCUGAAAAGAGCCUUGGCCCCAUGAGAAAAGGCUCUCUUCUGCUCUGGGAUCAAGCGUUGUGUUCUCUGAAGGAGCAAAUUUGAAACAAUUUUUAUUCUCUUGCUACUAUUGUUUCUCAUUACCACUGUUUGUCUUGUGUUCUUUUGUGAAGCGUCCUCUGCCAGACGAGUAGCAAUCAUGAAAACUUGGAAGUAUUGUGGAGGAAGGAGGAUUUUUUUUUUUUAUUUCCUUUUUAAAAAUGUGAAAUUAAAAAAAAAAAAAAAUCAGAUGUUUUCCCUGCUAGUGAAAAGUAAGGUGAGAAAGAGGAAUGUAUGGGGAAAAAAGCUGUCUCACAGCUUUGUUGAAUGCUGGAGAAGGAAGAGAUGGAUGAAAAGCACUAAUAAAAAGCAAAGUUUGAGGAGUGGACUUGAAGACUGCCUUACUGCUUAUCUGAUUCCCCACAAAGGGGCCGGGCUGUCUUGCAGGACGGUUUCAGGUAACAUCAGCCCGAGCCUCCUGACUCAUCCCUGUGUGGGUUUUGGAUGUGCUGGAGCUGAGCUGAACCUGCCAGGCUCUUACAGUUUGCUUUUGCACACAUGGAGGAGAAGCUGGGCUGCUUGGACCGAGCGUUACAAAGCCUCUUUCUAGGAAAGGAGCUUUGCGUAACAGAAGGGAAAAUAGGUCGUUGUCAAGGUUUAGGGCAUCUGCAGAAGAAAGUAAACAAGUGGUGCAGCGUGGCCGGGCUAGAGGGGAGAGCAGGAUCUGCUCCUGCUCCAGACAAGGCUGUGCUUUGAAGGAGGGCUUGGCUGGGAGUAAAGACAGCCUCCUGUUUACAGCAGUGGGAUUCGGGUUCUCCACGUGAUCCUUGGCAAAGCAUCCCAUGCCUGGGCUGAGUCUGGGUGCAGGGAGGAAUCAGCUCCCCACAGCACCCCAGGUUUUGGGUGCCAGGCUCUGUUGGGCACGACACACAGCAAACAGGGCCUCGGAAUCGCUGUGGAGCUGCUGCGGGAGGGGGAGGCUCCCCGAGGCAGAAAACCAUGGCAAAGCAGAGCCAGGCAAAGCCAGAGCACAGCCUGCCCAGGGACACAGAGAAAGAAACAAAAAACAAGGCAAAAAAACCCCCAAAAAACCAAAAACCACCAAAACAACCACCAGCCUCCUGCAAAAGCACCGCAAAGUCCUUACAAACGGCCUGGGGCAUCGUCCAAGCGAAAUGCCAGGGGAGAUUUUGGGAAGACAUCCAGCUGACACAGAACCACAGCACGUUACCUUCCCGAGGGCCGGGGGAGAGGCCGGGCACCCACCCGGGCAGCAGCGGCCGGCUCUGUGCUGGCAGCCCGGGCUGUGGGCGAGCCCUCCCCGCCGGGGUACAGCCUGUGCCGGAGCUGCGGCAGCCGGGGGGCUCCGCGGAACAUCUGCCAGCUGCCCGGCCCCCGCCGCCAGCCCGCCAGGACAUCUUGUUUGUGUUUUUGUGCGGAGCACACUCCCAGCGGGUUAUGUCAGAGAUGGGCUGCUGACAGGUGCUGCUGGGGGCUGAGAGAUGGAAAAUCCGGACGCUCUGAUAUGGUCUGUCACUAGCUUGAAGAGAAAAAAAGCAGGUGAGAUUUGGUCUUCUUCUUCUGCCACGUUAUUCAGAUGCUGUAGAAGUAUAAAACCACAAUAGUAUUGUGUUAGGAAAAUACUAUUACCUCGUCUCAAAGGCAGGGGAAUGGAAUAAGUCCUAAAGAUGGAAGACUGGGAUAUGUCCUUUGGGACAAGGAGGAUCUGCUUCCAUAACACAGGUCCCAGAAUAAGCAGGGUUCUGUCAGAAUGGCAUUGUGUAAAAUAACAGAA
Molecule: long non-coding RNA, 1844 nt
Filed under: Lonchura striata (white-rumped munia)
Lineage: Eukaryota; Metazoa; Chordata; Aves; Passeriformes; Estrildidae
Description: domestica (Bengalese finch) lncRNA (ENSLSDG00000010794.1)
Source: RNAcentral